Molecule: ribosomal RNA, 468 nt
Filed under: uncultured bacterium
Lineage: Bacteria
Description: partial 16S ribosomal RNA
Rfam family: Bacterial small subunit ribosomal RNA
Source: RNAcentral
GACGAACGCUGGCGGCGUGCUUAACACAUGCAAGUCGAACGGAAAGGCCCUGCUUUUGUGGGGUGCUCGAGUGGCGAACGGGUGAGUAACACGUGAGUAACCUGCCCUUGACUUUGGGAUAACUUCAGGAAACUGGGGCUAAUACCGGAUAGGAGCUCCUGCUGCAUGGUGGGGGUUGGAAAGUUUCGGCGGUUGGGGAUGGACUCGCGGCUUAUCAGCUUGUUGGUGGGGUAGUGGCUUACCAAGGCUUUGACGGGUAGCCGGCCUGAGAGGGUGACCGGCUAUAUUGGGACUGAGAUACGGCCCAGACUCCUACGGGAGGCAGCAGUGGGGAAUAUUGCACAAUGGGCGGAAGCCUGAUGCAGCAACGCCGCGUGCGGGAUGACGGCCUUCGGGUUGUAAACCGCUUUCGCCUGUGACGAAGCGUGAGUGACGGUAAUGGGUAAAGAAGCACCGGCUAACUACGUG